Molecule: ribosomal RNA, 427 nt
Filed under: Stenotrophomonas rhizophila
Lineage: Bacteria; Pseudomonadati; Pseudomonadota; Gammaproteobacteria; Lysobacterales; Lysobacteraceae
Description: bacterial SSU rRNA
Rfam family: Bacterial small subunit ribosomal RNA
Source: RNAcentral
GGGUGGCGAGUGGCGGACGGGUGAGGAAUACAUCGGAAUCUACCUUUUCGUGGGGGAUAACGUAGGGAAACUUACGCUAAUACCGCAUACGACCUUCGGGUGAAAGCAGGGGACCUUCGGGCCUUGCGCGGAUAGAUGAGCCGAUGUCGGAUUAGCUAGUUGGCGGGGUAAAGGCCCACCAAGGCGACGAUCCGUAGCUGGUCUGAGAGGAUGAUCAGCCACACUGGAACUGAGACACGGUCCAGACUCCUACGGGAGGCAGCAGUGGGGAAUAUUGGACAAUGGGCGCAAGCCUGAUCCAGCCAUACCGCGUGGGUGAAGAAGGCCUUCGGGUUGUAAAGCCCUUUUGUUGGGAAAGAAAAGCAGUCGAUUAAUACUCGGUUGUUCUGACGGUACCCAAAGAAUAAGCACCGGCUAACUUCGUGCC